Molecule: ribosomal RNA, 287 nt
Filed under: uncultured bacterium
Lineage: Bacteria
Description: partial 16S ribosomal RNA
Rfam family: Bacterial small subunit ribosomal RNA
Source: RNAcentral
ACGUCCUGACGGGAGGCAGCAGGUAGGGAAUAUUGCACGAAUGGGCAGCAAGCCUGAUGCAGCCAUGCCGCGUGAUGUAGCAAGAAUGGGCCUUCGGGUUGAUGAAAGCACUUUUCAGUCGUGAGGAAGGUAGUGUAGUUAAUAGCUGCAUUAUUUGACGUUAGCGACAGAAGAAGCACCGGCUAACUCCGUGCCAGCAGCCGCGGUAAUACGGAGGGUGCGAGCGUUAAUCGGAAUUACUGGGGCGUAAAGCGCAUGCAGGUGGUUUGUUAAGUCAGAUGUGAAAG